This 347-nucleotide ribosomal RNA is filed under the name uncultured bacterium. Its description in RNAcentral is "partial 16S ribosomal RNA". It matches the Rfam family "Bacterial small subunit ribosomal RNA", at positions 338 to 682 of the family's 1533-position model. The record is from RNAcentral.
CCUACGGGAGGUAGCAGUGAGGAAUAUUGGUCAAUGGGCGGAAGCCUGAACCAGCCAAGUAGCGUGCAGGAUGACGGCCCUACGGGUUGUAAACUGCUGUUAUACGGGAAUAACGCGCCUUACGUGGAGGGCUUUGCAUGUACCGUAUGAAUAAGGACCGGCUAAUUCCGUGCCAGCAGCCGCGGUAAUACGGAAGGGCCGGGCGUUAGCCGGAUUUAUUGGUUUUAAAGGGAGCGUAGGCCGCAUGUCAAGCGUGCGGUGACAUGUCCGGGCGCAACCCGGGCCUUGCAGCGCGAACUGGCGUGCUUGCGUCCGCGGCUAGCAGGCGGCAUUCGUCGUGUAGCGGU